GGUUCCUUGCUGGAGAAGCAGGGCACGUGCAAAAUCCUGAUGAAGUGCUUACACUUUGCACGCGCUCUUCUUCUCCAACACGGGC
Molecule: microRNA precursor, 85 nt
Filed under: Populus trichocarpa (black cottonwood)
Lineage: Eukaryota; Viridiplantae; Streptophyta; Magnoliopsida; Malpighiales; Salicaceae
Description: miR164a stem-loop (ptc-MIR164a)
Gene: ptc-MIR164a
Source: miRBase by way of RNAcentral